UCCUUAUCUUUAUCCCCUUUCCUCUCCCUUAUUUCUACCUAGGUAAAAGCUAUAUUGACACUUCCCUUCUGUCCAGCAAUCACAAGGCACAGCUCACCAUGCUCUUCAUAGCAACCCCAUCGUCCCAGAGGUGACACAGUGUGCCAUCUCAUAUGCCAUUUUUAUGAUAAAAUCAUGGAACAAAAAGCUGUGCAGUGUCUAGGAAAGACUUUCGAUCACUGAGUCACCUGGCUCCAGCCCGCUGGCAAUGACCUCUCCCUCUGCUGGUACUGCCUGUGGACAGUCAUACCCCUCCCCGGAUUGUGUGUGGAGACUGUCUGGACUUGUCCUCACCUUGUCAUGCAGGUGACUCAAAUAUGAAUCCCAGGACCCUGGACCCUCCAGCUCUCCCCCACAGUAUGGCCAAGGGAUUUCCAGAACUGUUGGAAGAUGAAUUAUGUUGCAGGAGUAUCUAGGAGUCUAUGGCUGGUCACCUUUUCUGUUGUUGCAGUGAUGUCAUGUAUGUGUAGGAGCUGGAGUUGCUUAAAAACGUUAAAGUGAAAUGGUUGCUCUAAUUUGCCAAAUAUGUUCCUUAGCCCUGCUAGUAUUCCAGUACUUGUUUAUAAGGAAAUGAUACAUCACUGAGUACCUCACCAAGCCCUCAAAAUACAAAAGAAUAGCAGCUUGGGCUUUCUGAGCCAGCUGACAGCAGUCUUGUUUCACCUGCAGGAUUUUGAUUUUGUUUUGGUGUUUGCAGUACUGAGGGGUGGAACCUGGGGCCUCAUGCAUGUUAAGCAAGUGCUCAACCAUGAGCUGCACCCCCAGCCUCCAAAUGCAUGUUAAAGAAGGUUUGCCCUGUGCAACAUAUCAGGUGGACAGAGUGGGACUCAGAUGGAACCUGUGUGAAGGAGUCUGAUUUCAAGGACAGAGAACCUUAGCUGGUCCUGUGUGAAGGAGUCUGAUUUCAAGGACAGAGAACCUUAGCUGGUCCUGAUGUCUGUGUGUCCACCUGGCUAAGUACCCUUGACAAACCACUGCCUAUGUGCUUUGACUAUUCUUCCAUUUACAACAUGCCUUCAUUUCUGGCAUCAAGUUUUAUUCCCUUGCAGUUGCUCUAUGUAGUGCCCUUGACCAAACCUGCUCCACCAGCCAGAGAUGACUAAAGCCUGUGUUCAAUAUCCUUUUGACUCAUCUGUUCAUCUAUUUGAAGUGAGCUUUUCAAACUGCUUUCAGCCUUCUCUUCUCCAGACUAAACAUUGACUUUCAACCCUUUGAUCAUGUUCAUUUUUAUUUUGAAUCCUCUCCAGUUUUCUUUAUUAUUCUUACAUCAGAGCAUUUAAAUGGUGCAUGAGACUCUACUCAUAAACUAGACCCUUAAGAUGUCACUGGUCAUGACACAUUUAUGACGGUAACUGGCAAGUUCUAAUCCCUUACUCCAGAUUUCCUAAGGGAAAGAAAGAGACUCUGCCUCAAUUCGCUAAGAAACCCAAAGUUUGAAUUGGUAAGGGAAAGAAUAUACUUGAAUUUUUAAGACAAAAGUUGCUAUUUAAAACAAACUAUUCCAAGCAAAUUCCCAGCAGAACCUUUCAUUGUAGUUUACAGAAAUUCCAGCCAAGAGUCCAUCACACCAAAUCUGAAAAUGUCAGGUCCUUUAUCAACAAAACCCCAACAAUUUAUAAGUAUGGAGAUUCCUCAAAAGAUUAGGCAUGAAAACACCAUAUAACGCAGCUAUGCCACUCUUCAGUAUUUAUCCUAAAGAAUUAAAGUCAUUCUACUACAGUGAUCCAUGCAUACCCACAUUUAUAGAAGCACAAUUCACAAUAGCCACACUAUGGACGGGUCUAGAUGUCCAUCAACAGAUGAUAGAUAAAAAAAUGUGGUACAUAUACAUGGAAGAGUUUUAUGUAGCCAUAAAGAAAAAUGAAAUUAUGUCAUUUGCAGGAAAAUGGAUGGAACUUGAGAUCAUUAUGUUAGGUGAAAUAAGCCAAACUCAGAAGGUCAAGGGUUGUGUAUGUUUUCUCUCAUAUGUAGAAGCUAGAGAUGGAAAAGGAAAAGAAAGAUCUCAUGAAAAUCAAAGGGAGAUUGGCAGAAUAGAGGAAAGGGACCAGUGGAUGGGAGAGAGUGGGAAGUGUUGGGGAGGAAUAGUAAUGAAAUUAUACUGUUUUAUUGUGUGCAUGUGUGAAUAUGUAACAGCAAAUCCCACCAUUGUGCACAACUGUAAUGCACCAAAAAAUGUGGAAAUAAUUAAAAAAUGAAAUAACCUCCAAUCAGGAAAAAAUUAUUCAUAUUAUGAAGCCAUAUGUUAUAUAGUAUAUAUCAUCUUCAAAUGUGGACACAAGUGUAUAUCAUAAAUAUAAAAUUCAUAUUUAAUUAAUUAUUUUUAUUUUUGACCUUGCUGGGGAUCAAGGUCAAAAGGCCAUAUACAUGCUAGGCAAGGGCUCUACCACUGAGCUGCAUCCCCAUGCCCAAUGUACAUAAAAUAUAAAUAUAUAAAAUAUAAAUGUACAUGGUGCCACCUAUGUUGUUCAUGCCCUAGAUACACUGUCGGAAUGAAUAGUCUAGACACCUCUUCAGUCCCCUAGAUAUCUGGGAUCAUAGCCUGGUUCGAAUCCCAGCCCCACACUCACUAGCUAGACGCUUGGGUAGUGCUACUUGACUCCCCUUGCACCUUGGUUUCCUCAUCUGUAAACAGGGAAUAAUGAUAAUAAUGAUGCUUAUCUCUAGGAGUUUCUGAGCAUUAAACACACUAAGAAAAAAAUUUAAAACACACUCAGGACAGGUCCUUCCCACAGCAAGUGCUUGCUCUUAUUAUUACCAUUAUGUCAUUUUAGUAAUCAUGCUCUGAACAUUGGCAAGGAUGCUGAUUUAGAUCUGAAAAUCAAGUCCAU
Molecule: long non-coding RNA, 2867 nt
Organism: Marmota monax (woodchuck)
Lineage: Eukaryota; Metazoa; Chordata; Mammalia; Rodentia; Sciuridae
Exons: 3
Source: RefSeq, a predicted model, not a curated record